This 464-nucleotide ribosomal RNA is filed under the name uncultured bacterium. RNAcentral describes it as "partial 16S ribosomal RNA". It matches the Rfam family "Bacterial small subunit ribosomal RNA", at positions 338 to 795 of the family's 1533-position model. The record is from RNAcentral.
CCUACGGGAGGCAGCAGUAGGGAAUUUUCGUCAAUGGGCGCAAGCCUGAACGAGCAAUGCCGCGUGAACAAGGAAGGUCUUCGGAUCGUAAAGUUCUGUUGAAGGGGAAAAAGAGCGGAGAGAGGAAAUGGUCUCCGAUUGAAAUUACCCUUCGAGGAAGUCACGGCUAACUACGUGCCAGCAGCCGCGGUAAUACGUAGGUGGCGAGCGUUAUCCGGAAUGAUUGGGCGUAAAGGGUGCGUAGGCGGCCUGCUAAGUCUGGAGUGAAAGGUACCGGCUCAACCGGUACAGGCUCUGGAAACUGGCGGGCUAGAGAGCAGGAGAGGGCGGUGGAACUCCAUGGGUAGCGGUAAAAUGCGUAGAUAUAUGGAAGAACACCAGUGGCGAAGGCGGCCGCCUGGCCUGUUACUGACGCUGAGGCACGAAAGCGUGGGGAGCAAAUAGGAUUAGAUACCCUGGUAGUC